GCGCCGCGCAGGCGCCGGGCAGGCCGGACGCACGCUAGGGUGUUCUUGUCCCGGCCAGGUAGCGCGGGGGCGGCCCUGGGGCGGGGAGACAGGGGGCGGCUCCCCUCCGGCGCUCUGCGGAGGACAGCAGCGAUCGCCAAGGCUCAGUGAGUGCCCCGCACUAGCGCAGCACCUGGCACUUGGCGGGGCCGAACCAACGAAUGAGCGAAUUUGCCGAGAGUCGCCCGGUCUGAAUCCAUUGACUCUUUCCUUGCCUCGGUCCUGUCCUCAUUCCUCGACUCACUCCCUCCUGCCCUUCCUCACUAUCUCCCUCCCCGCUCAUAUCCUCCCUCCCCUUUCCUCAUUCCCUUCUUCACUCUCUUCUCUCCUCUCUUCCUCUCUUACUCCCCCCUCUCAUUCUCUCCCUCCCUCCUUCACUCUCUCAUUCCCUCCCUUCCUAUCUUACCCCCCAUUCCCUUCCUCCCUCACUCAUUCACUCCCUCCCUCUCUCCCCCUCUCAUCCCCUCCCUCUCUCAUUCCUUUUCCCUCCCUCCUUCACUCUCGUUCUCCCCUCCCUCUCUCAUUCCUUACCUCCCUGUCUCACUUCCCCCCUUCUUUCCCUCCCUCCCUCUCCCCUUCUCCCAUUCCCUCCCUCCCUCUUUGAUUCCCUUCUUUCCUCCUCUCCUCCUUCACUUGUUCCCUUCGUCACGCGCUCAUUCCCUCCCUCCCUGCCUCUUCCCCGCUCCCUCCGCGGUCGGUGCCGCUGACCGUAGCGCGCCCCCUGCGGGAUCUCGGGGAGAAUCGCCGAACACCGCCAGAGUGAACAGGUGCUAGUUUGUGUGCGCGUUCCUUUACUGAGAUUUUGCAGUAAAUCUAAUUCCCAGUCUUAAAGCCUGGUCCCAGAGGUCCGUGCGCGGGUCUUGGCAUUCAUUUUUCUCCACCUCACCUUCGAGCAGGUCCCAUCCUCCGAGGCGUAUCUGUAAUGGCUACACCCAGAGCUUGGAGCCACAGAGCCUCCUGAUGGAAUAAGCUCUAUGAUCAGAAGAUGGCAUAAUUGGGGCUGGGCACAGUGGCUCAGUGCCCAGCUGGGAUUACGCCUGUAAUCCCAGCACUUUGGGAGGCCGAGGCAAGUGGAUUACGAGGUCAGGAGUUCAAGACCAGCCUGGCCAACAUGGUGAAACCCCAUCUCUACUAAAAAUACAAAAAAUUAGCCGGGCGCGGUGGCAGUCGCCUGUAAUCCCAGCUGCUCGGGAGGCUGAGGCGGGAGAAUAGCUUGAACUCAGAGGGCGGAGGUUGCAGUGACCCGAGGUCAUGCCACUGCACUCCAGCCUGGGCGACAGAGUGAGACUCUGUCUCUAAAAACAAAAAAGAAGAUGGCGUAAUCGGAAGUUGAUAUUCUAUCUACUGGAUCCUGCUUCUCCCCUGGGGUCUUCUCGGUCCCCUGAAGCCCCUCUUCCGGAGUCCCUGCCCUCUAUCAGCUCUGCCUCCUGCUUCCUUUCUGUAUUGCCAUGAUUUUUGCUAAGGAUAAAGGACAACUUUAUUGGCUUC
This is a long non-coding RNA of Pongo pygmaeus (Bornean orangutan), 1527 nucleotides long. RefSeq lists it as uncharacterized. Lineage: Eukaryota; Metazoa; Chordata; Mammalia; Primates; Hominidae. The transcript has 2 exons. The record is from RefSeq and is a predicted model, not a curated record.